Molecule: ribosomal RNA, 758 nt
Filed under: uncultured archaeon
Lineage: Archaea
Description: bacterial SSU rRNA
Rfam family: Archaeal small subunit ribosomal RNA
Source: RNAcentral
UUCGCCCUUUUCCGGUUGAUCCCGCCGGACCUUACUGCUAUCGGGGUGGGACUAAGACAUGCGAGUCGGGCGUCUCUAGCUAUGUUGAGACGCGGCAGACGGCUCAGUAACACGUGGCUAACCUACCCUCAGGACGGGGAUAAACCCGGGAAACUGGGGCUAAUAUCCGAUAGGUGAGGAAUCCUGGAAUGGUUUCUCACCCAAAGGGCAUUGGAAACAUGCUUUCUUUGUCGCCUGGGGAUGGGGCCGCGACCGAUCAGGUUGUUGGUGAGGUAAUGGCUCACCAAGCCUAUAACCGGUACGGGCCGUGAGAGCGGUAGCCCAGAGAUGGGUACCGAGACAAGGACCCAGGCCCUACGGGGCGCAGCAGUCGCGAAAACUCCGCAAUGCACGAAAGUGUGACGGGGCUACCCCGAGUGCCUUCCGCUGAGGAAGGCUUUUCUUUGGUGUAACUAGCCAUGGGAAUAAGGAGAGGGCAAGACUGGUGUCAGCCGCCGCGGUAAUACCAGCUCUCCGAGUGGUAGGGAUGAUUAUUGGGCUUAAAGCGUCCGUAGCCUGCUUAGCAAGUUUCCUGUUAAAUUCAGCGACCUAAUCGUUGAGCCGCGGGAAAUACUACUAGGCUAGGAGGCGGGAGAGGUCGACGGUACUUCUGGGGUAGGGGUGAAAUCCUAUAAUCCCGGGAGGACCACCAGUAGCGAAGGCUGUCGACUAGAACGCGCUCGACGGUGAGGGACGAAAGCUGGGGGAGCGAACCGGAU